Molecule: ribosomal RNA, 851 nt
Filed under: Salmonella enterica subsp. enterica serovar Newport
Lineage: Bacteria; Pseudomonadati; Pseudomonadota; Gammaproteobacteria; Enterobacterales; Enterobacteriaceae
Description: partial 23S ribosomal RNA
Rfam family: Bacterial large subunit ribosomal RNA
Source: RNAcentral
AGACCCGAAACCCGGUGAUCUAGCCAUGGGCAGGUUGAAGGUUGGGUAACACUAACUGGAGGACCGAACCGACUAAUGUUGAAAAAUUAGCGGAUGACCUGUGGCUGGGGGUGAAAGGCCAAUCAAACCGGGAGAUAGCUGGUUCUCCCCGAAAGCUAUUUAGGUAGCGCCUCGUGAAUUCAUCUCCGGGGGUAGAGCACUGUUUCGGCUAGGGGGCCAUCCCGGCUUACCAACCCGAUGCAAACUGCGAAUACCGGAGAAUGUUAUCACGGGAGACACACGGCGGGUGCUAACGUCCGUCGUGAAGAGGGAAACAACCCAGACCGCCAGCUAAGGUCCCAAAGUCAUGGUUAAGUGGGAAACGAUGUGGGAAGGCCCAGACAGCCAGGAUGUUGGCUUAGAAGCAGCCAUCAUUUAAAGAAAGCGUAAUAGCUCACUGGUCGAGUCGGCCUGCGCGGAAGAUGUAACGGGGCUAAACCAUGCACCGAAGCUGCGGCAGCGACACUCAGGUGUUGUUGGGUAGGGGAGCGUUCUGUAAGCCUGUGAAGGUGGCCUGUGAGGGUUGCUGGAGGUAUCAGAAGUGCGAAUGCUGACAUAAGUAACGAUAAAGCGGGUGAAAAGCCCGCUCGCCGGAAGACCAAGGGUUCCUGUCCAACGUUAAUCGGGGCAGGGUGAGUCGACCCCUAAGGCGAGGCCGAAAGGCGUAGUCGAUGGGAAACGGGUUAAUAUUCCCGUACUUGGUGUUACUGCGAAGGGGGGACGGAGAAGGCUAUGUUGGCCGGGCGACGGUUGUCCCGGUUUAAGCGUGUAGGCUGGUUUUCCAGGCAAAUCCGGAAAAUCAAGGCUGAGGC